This 460-nucleotide ribosomal RNA is filed under the name uncultured bacterium. RNAcentral describes it as "partial 16S ribosomal RNA". It matches the Rfam family "Bacterial small subunit ribosomal RNA", at positions 338 to 795 of the family's 1533-position model. The record is from RNAcentral.
CCUACGGGUGGCAGCAGUGAGGAAUAUUGGUCAAUGGACGAGAGUCUGAACCAGCCAAGUAGCGUGAAGGAUGACUGCCCUAUGGGUUGUAAACUUCUUUUAUAAAGGAAUAAAACGAGGCACGUGUGCCUUUUUGCAUGUACUUUAUGAAUAAGGAUCGGCUAACUCCGUGCCAGCAGCCGCGGUAAUACGGAGGAUCCGAGCGUUAUCCGGAUUUAUUGGGUUUAAAGGGAGCGUAGAUGGGUUGUUAAGUCAGUUGUGAAAGUUUGCGGCUCAACCGUAAAAUUGCAAUUGAUACUGGCAGUCGUGAGUACAGUUGAGGUAGGCGGAAUUCGUGGUGUAGCGGUGAAAUGCUUAGAUAGCACGAAGAACCCCGAGUGCGAAGGCAGCUUACUAAACUGUGACUGACAUUGAUGCUCGAAAGUGUGGGUAUCAAACAGGAUUAGAUACCCUAGUAGUC